CUGGCUCAGGAUUAACGCUGGCGGCAUGCCUAAUACAUGCAAGUCGAAUGGAAGAGCUUGCUUUCCAUGGCGAACGGGUGAGUAACACGUAGGUAACCUACCUUAAGGACGAGGAUAACCUUUGGAAACGAAGGAUAAUACUGGAUAGGACAUCAUAAAACACAUGUUUAGAUGUUUAAAGGAGCAAUCCACCAUAAGAGGGGCCUGCGGCGCAUUAGCUAGUUGGUGAGAUAAAGGCCCACCAAGGCGAUGAUGCGUAGCCGGACUGAGAGGUUGAACGGCCACAAUGGGACUGAGAACGGCCCAUACUCCUACGGGAGGCAGCAGUAGGGAAUUUUCGGCAAUGGACAAAAGUCUGACCGAGCAAUGCCCGCGUGAUCGAAGAAGUAUUUCGGUAUGUAAAGAUCUUUUAUCAGGGAAGAAAAGACAGAUUGACUGAACCUGAUGAAUAAGCUCCGGCUAACUACGUGCCAGCCGCCGC
Molecule: ribosomal RNA, 481 nt
Filed under: uncultured bacterium
Lineage: Bacteria
Description: bacterial SSU rRNA
Rfam family: Bacterial small subunit ribosomal RNA
Source: RNAcentral